Long non-coding RNA from Felis catus (domestic cat), 5793 nucleotides. RefSeq lists it as uncharacterized. The transcript has 3 exons. NCBI's taxonomy places the organism in Eukaryota, Metazoa, Chordata, Mammalia, Carnivora, Felidae. The record is from RefSeq and is a predicted model, not a curated record.
UUCUCUUCAGUGCAUAAUUAGUUCUCUAAUUUUCGCCUCAUACGCCUGAAAUCUUUUUGUCUCUUUUUUCUCAGCUUCCUCUUUUUCCAUAAUUUUAUCUUCCAUUUCAGCUAUUCUCUCCUCUACAUCUUCAAUCCGAGUUGUGGUUUUCUCCGUUUUAUUUUUCAGCUCGUUUAUAGCAUUUUUUAGCUCAUCAAGGAUGUUCCUUACUCUGUUGAUAUCUGUAGCAGUAGAUUCUCUGCUGUCUUGUAUACUGUUUAUAAGCCCAGUGAUUAGUUUUAGGACUAUUAUUCUAAUUUCACUUUUUUUAUAUUGUUUAAAUCCUUUAUGAUCAGUUCCUUAGCUGUCGUUAUUUCCUUGAGAUUCUUUGAGAGGAAUUCUUCCGUUUGGUCGUUUUGAAUAGUCCUUGGAUUUGUGCGGAACGGUGGGGCACUUCUGUGCUGUCUUGAAUAACUUGCGUUGGUGGGCGGGGCCGCAGUCAGACGUCUGCCACCAGCCCACCGCGGACCAGCCCACAUUCAGACUGGUAGGUACAUUCUGUUCCCCUCUCCAAUAGCGGGAUUCACUGUGGGUAGCGUGGCCCGUCUGGGCUAAAUGCACACUUCCAGGUUUCUGGUGCUGGGGAUCUGGCGUAUUAGCUGAGGUGGAUGAGCAAGGGGCACAGUGUCCGGAUGGGCAGGCUCAGCUCACUUUUCCUUCAGUGAGCCGCUUCAGGAGGGACCCUGCGACACCAGGAGUGAGUCUGACCCGCCGCCGGAAGGAUGGAGACGCAGAAGCACAACAUUCGUUGUUUGCACGGUGAAAGUUCCCUGAUAAGAACUGGUUCCCUUUGAGGUAUUGGCUGGAGGGAUGGGCGAGGGAGAUGGCGUUGGCGAGCAUAUUUGUUCCCCACCACGCUGAGCUCUGUCGUCUGUGGCUCAAGGGUCCCUCCCGUUGUCCUCCAGCCCUCCUGCUCUCUGAGCAGAGCUGUUAGCUUAAAACCUUCCAGAUAAGUCCCGCUUGCUCCCCGAGAACACUCCAUCCGGUCCCUCCACUUUUGCACGCCAGACUCGGGGGCUCUGCUUUGCCGGUGGGCUGCCCCUCUCCCUCCCGCCAGUCAGUUUAGCACGCACAGCCUCUCUGCCCUUCCUACCCUCUUCUCUGAGCCUGUCGUUUAAGCUUGGCUUUGGAGAAUCUGUUCUGCUAGUCUGAUGAUUUUCUGGGUUAUUUAGGAAGGUAUGGGUGGAAUCUAAGUAAUUAGCAGGACACAGUGACCCCAGCGUCCUCCUAUGCCACCAUCUCCCUGAAAUCUCCUCAAUCUUAUUCUCUUUUAAACGUAAUCAUUUUUUAUUAAAAAAUUCUUAAAGGUUCAUUUAUUUUGAAAUUCACACAGAGAGAAUGGGCACAUGCAUGAGUAGGGAGGAGGUAGAGAAUCCCAAGUAAGCUCCGUGCUGUCAGCACAGAGCCUGACACAGGGCUUGAACUCACAAACCUUGAGUUCAUGACCUGAGCUGAAUCCAAGAAUCAGAAACCCAACUGACUGAGCCACACACAUUUGUAAAAAAACAUUUUUAAGUAAAUCAGUCCAAAGUUCAACAGUAGAGGAAAGGCAUGUGCCAAAUUCCCUGCCCUCAGAGCUCUCACAGCCCUCACCACCCUUGGGGGAAUCCAGCAGUUGAAGAUGUAGUUUCCAGGCAGGAUGUCAGUGCGGGAUCGAGUGCAGGACGAGGAAGCACGUGACUGGGCAGUCAGUCCAUCCUUCCGAAGCCUGGGCUGAGGGAGCUUGUAGCAGGGAACAUGUCACUGCUUCUGUGUCACCGAUUCCAUUUCUAUGAGGGUACAAGUGGGAAGGGGGUGGGGUUGUCACGGUUUGCUGACCCAGAAGGCUGCUAUCAGGCAGGCAGUAUUGGGAACUCUCAGGCCGACAGCUCCAACUGAGCUUCUCCUCCUUUGUGAUCUGCAUGUCAAGUCUUCUUUUGUCCCCUAUCCUCUCUCCUGUCCCUGGUUGACCGUGUAACCCAACAGUUUGUCUUUGGACACUCUGUUGCUGAGGAAGCUAAACUGUUGGAAAUCACUUCCCAGCUCAUGAAGAGAGCACGCCUUCUUGCUCUGUCCCACUUGCUGUUUCCUGCUCUCUGUGCUGAGUGGGUAUGGGUGUCUGCUGGGGGACGAGGCACCUUCCAAGGAUCGGGGCCCGGGGUUAAGACGGGACAAUUAUCUAGACCCUGUCACCACCAUGGAACCCUACAGCUACCCACAAGCAUGCAUGAGGCUACCCACAAGCACGCAUGAGACUGGUAUGGACUGUGAGCAGGUUAACAGGAUGUCCAGUGUACGCACAGCGUGUGAUGUGAGACAGCCAGUACUUUUGACCCCACUGUUGCCCACAGGCCGAAGAGAGGAAUGGAAACAUCGAAUAAAGGCUGCACGAGUUGGAUGCACACCUGGAGGAAAAGAACCAAGAACAGCAGAGGAUAUGUGUCCAAGGGAGCGGCCGCACACCUGGCAGUGGUUGAGGAUGAGGCCCAGGUUGGGGGUGUGGGGAUAAGGAGUGUUGCCUUGUAUCCACUUCUCCAAAUGUGGACGGCAGUCCCCUUCUCGAUUAUCCCAUCAGGGGUACAGUGGACUCUUGUGAGUCAAGUUGCCAACUUAUGCCCCGGGAUUUCCACGUGAACUCACCCACUCUCUGGGAAUUCUACACCCUGGGUUAGGUCAAGGUAUGCAUCAAUGAUUAAGUGACCAUGUUGUUUGAUACUGGUGGAAAAUGGGUGAUGCAUUCAUGAGUUUACUGUACAUCUCCCUUUGGCAUUUGUGUAGAAGUUUCUAGAAAAGAAAAUGUUAGAGGUUGUUUCAGGAUCCCCUCUGUGCGAUAGAUGCUCUCAGCCUGGAAUGACUGCUCCCUGGUCCUCAAUUUGGAAGUAAAGUAGCCAGGGUUUGAAAUUUGAGCUGCACCGGCAGCGGAGACACAUCUCCCAUCACAAACCAAGCGUGCAAGUGCCGAUUCCAUCUUGACCCUGCUUUCACAUUUUGAUUCCUGUGACAUCAGGAUGCGUCCUACUAGAGGUGACAUCAUAGAUGCUGAAAAGUGGCCUAUGACAUCAAAGUCGUGAUGGGAAGAAUUACAGCCGGCUUCUCCCUUUGCUCCCAGAAGCUCCCUGCUUUUCAGGCAGACAGCAUUCCCUGUGCUGUGUUUGUCUCCAGACCGAAACACGGUCCCUUCAGAGAGAUUUCCUUGGGUUAUCAAAGUCCUCAUUUACAAGGAACAAACACUGGAGGCCAUGAGGAGAUGUAUGCUGGCAGGUUGCAGCAGUGAUUUCUGUUGGCACGAAGAGAAAACUUUAUGCAGCUACAAAUCUUUGGAAACGUGUUAUUUUCUGUAUUUUCUCAAUGUGUCUGAAAACCGGUUGAGCUAUUUGGUUAGUCAAAUGCACUUCCUCCUUGCCUCCUUCGGAUUUCUUCACAAAGCCGUGUGAAGUGUGGGAGGAUGUCCUGGAGUCCUGAAAAGGUCUGCACGCCUGACGACUUGCCCUGGCGGCAGACGUCCUCCUGACGUUUUUACUCUUCAUCGUGUUACACACGGAUCCCUCCAGAUGCCUGGGAUUUCCUCAGUGGAUCGCUGGGUUUCAGAGAGAGACCUGUGAACAGCCUCUCACCUUCCGCCAGGAAGAAAGGUCUGUGUCCUAUCAAAAUGAAUGAAAUCUUGCCACUUGCAGCUACAUCCAUGGAUCUGGAGGAUAUUACGUUGUGAAAUUAGAGAAAGUGCCAGAGAUUGCUGUCUGAGUGGCAGCUGCAUUGCUCCUGACUCCUUCCUGCUGAUAUAUUUCCUUUGCCCUAGAAAAAAGGCAGGUUGUUUUCCCUCCGGCCUUCUGUCCACAAGCCAACCUCUUGUGCUCAAUGCUUUCCAAUGCACUGGGGUAGCUGCUUCUGUGCCAGUGUAAGUUUGCCAGAGGGCAUGAAACAGUAAAUUUCCAAGCCGUCCCACAUCCAGGAAAACUGCUAUCAAAGAGUUGAUAAAAAUCAGAAGGGAGGCUUCCAGACUGCUUCCACCAAAGCCCCACAGGGAGGAAUUGGUCAAUAAAUAACAAUGAUGAUUUUGAUGAUAAUCUUAAUUAAAAUAAGAAUAACAACUGAGAAGAAACACACUGGGUACAUAAAUUGUUCAGUUCAGAUGAAAAUGGAAUUAAAAUGGGACUGCGGACAUGAGCACUAUUUUCCAGGCAAGCUAGGUGUCCUGAGAGUAAGAAGGAAACGUCUGUGGGGUUGGCAUGAAAGGAAGCACCGAUCACAAGCGCACUGCAUCCUGAGCUACGUAGGGCAGGAAGGCUUCUGGCUCUGGCCUUCCACUUACAACCAGGGGGCAGAGGCCCUCGCGAUCUAUCUCAGUGUUGGCUUCUCUGUGCUGGCUGGCAGCCAUGUCUGUGGAAUUGGGCUCUUGGUCCCCGAGUCUUUGAAUGGACUGUCUGCCCUGACCACCUGGGGAAGAACAAUGCUCAUGCUCCAACACUGGACUUCUCAUCAUGUGGUUACCUCACAGCGGCCUGUGGAACAGGGUCACCAACAGCCCUCAGGCUAACAAGCACACAGGUCUCAGUAAGGGAGGGCAAUGUGUCCUUGGGAAUCGCCAUGUGUUAGCUGCUUGUGAAUGCCUGGCACUCUCUAACAGUUACAUGGUUCCUGACUCUGACCUCUGAUCACCAACACCCCAUGCACACAAGUGAAGAUGGCUCCCUCCCAAUAACACUUGCCCCAUCCCAGAAGACUUUUUGCCUUCUCUUGCCAAGAGAGGUGUCACAGGUGAGCCCAUGGAGAACCCACUGUCCAUGUUCCCCUGGAUCUAGGGCAAUGUAGCAGGACUCCACAAUUAAAAUCAGAGAGACAUAGUUCCAGGCUAGGAAACUCAGUCCCUCACUGGAAAACCUGUUUAGAAGGAGAUCAAGGGAAUCAGAAGGGAUACAGUUGGGUCCCAACUCUCUGUCCCAGAUGAUAAUGAAAUAAAUCUGUGAAGGAAGUGACCAGCACAAUUCCCCAGGGAAGCUUCGUGUCCUAUGACUAUGGAAAACCUGUGGGUUAUGGAGAAAUAGAACCCAAUUUAGUUACACCUGGGAGCCUGAAUGUAGCAAAAGAAACCCAACAUCUGACCUCAAACAGUGUAGGGGGGUUGGGGCACUUGCCAGCUUUGCAGCUUUUCCUGUCCGUGGGUAAAAGCAGUGGUGAUCUGGAGGGCAGAGUCUCCACACGAGCUGAUGCCCAAGUGUGUAGGACUGGGUUCUGAUUCUGUUUAGUUCUUUUUGAGUCGUUUCUUUGACGAUCACCUGCUGGCGCAACGACUGGGCAUGCAGGAUCCCUGAAAGUCUCCAAGAGCAGGAUGUUGAGGCACUCUAUGGUGGGGGCAAAGAGCACAGUAAUAGUCACUGCACAAACAAGAGACUUCAACGCCCAACGGUUUGAGGAGGACAACAUGUUUUCGUUGAUAUCAGAAAUUAGUUGUUCGGGGGGUUGAAAACAACCUUCAUGUGUGCUCACUGGGAGUUAAUCGGCCCUAUCUGCAUUGAGAAAGAGUGAAAGCAUGUCAUUGGCAGCAACGUGGAUGCAACGGGAAGGUUGUAUGUUGAGCGACAUGUCAGUCAGAGAAGGAUACAUAUCAUAUGUUUUCACUCACAUGUGCUUCUUGAGAAGCAUAAGAGAAGACCGAGGGGAAGGGAAGGGGAAAAAGUAGUUACAAACAGAGAGGGAUGGAGGCAAACCAUAAGAGACCCUUAAAUACAGAGAACAAAUGGAGGGUGGAUGGGUGGUGGGGGAGAGGGAAAAUGGGUG